UCCGCGCGCUAUUUCAGAUCGUGUUUCAGAUUAUAGCCUAUUCAGCGAAUGAGCUUAUAGACAGCUAAGAAUAAAUUGGUACAUACGUCAUAAUACCGCGUGCUGAGUAUUUUUACUACGAGUCUUUCAAAGAAUCAUCAAGCUGUUUCGCUUGGACCAAAAAACAGACGAAUGAGAUGUCAAUUACCCUUAAAUGAUCGGAGCUUAUUAGACGAAGUAUGUACAAAGGUUUGACAAUUUUAAUUAUGUAUAUAUAUACUUAAUACUUAUCACGUGGAUACUGCAAUUGUCACCUGCAAUUCACGUGCAGUUAUUCAGUCGAUGACUUUACUUAUAGUGUGAAUCAAAUGUAUUUCGGAGAAACGUUGGUAAAAAACAAUUGUAUUUAAAUAGUAUAUAUAUAUAUAUAUAUAGAAAUAUGAAAGUUACACAAUUUUAAAAAUAACUCUUAUUCAGUCCUCGAUGUAUACAUUGGUAGAAAUUACGUAAGCAGUUUUGAUUGUGCAUUAGUACAGAACGUACGCCGCUCCCUGGCACGUCGAUUUUGGAACCAAAUCUUCACCUAAAACAAAUUAAUCGUAAUCAUAAUUUGCAAGUAGAUCAAACAAUUUACAGCGAUUUUAUAGAUCCUGAUACCAUUUUUGAAAUCAUGAUUCCAAAAGCGAAGGAACAGACAAUUGUAUAUAAAAUAUAGAAAGAAUGACAUGUUUAUAUUUUCUUCUAGGAACGACAAAUUUGUAAAUUAUUGAGACGUACCCUGUUGGAUGGGAGAUUCAGCAUAUUCGAUAUUUUCGAUAAGUCUUCUCUCGAAAUGUAAGCGCUGUUUCGAAACUUCUGCUCUAGGAAGCAAAGUUGAAACGUUGAGAACGGUAUUCGAGGAUGAGCACUUGGUCUUCUUCUAUUUCUGUUAACCGCUGAUUUCCUGUGAAUCUUCGGUGGCUUGUAUCUCGUACAUUCAAGCCAUUCCAAUUUCCUUGCGUUCUGCACCUCUAAGUCCUCUGAUUUAUUUUUUAACCAUUUAGUCGGCUUUUUAUUUCCGUUCUCUAAUAACGAACGUUUACUUUCAUUAUUACAAUCCUUGUUUGUGCAUCCUUUUAAUUGUCUUCCUUGAACGCAGUCCACAUUCGAAUUUACUGAAUCCUUUUGCGCCUCGUUUACUCGAGCAACACAACGGUAAUUUUCAAUUUUAUCGUUUCCACUGAACUGCUCAUUUUCAGUUAUCAUACACGCGUUAUCCGCUAAAAUACUCUCUAUACUAAAGUCUUUCCGCAUUCUAGCCGACCUCAUGUCGAAACUACGACUGCGGUAGCUUAAAUAAAAAUCCUCUUUAUAUACGGUGCCCUAUUACAUGCUACUUUGACCACCCCAAAUUUUAGCGACCCACGGUGGUCGAGGAUCAGUUACGAAUUAUACGCAUAGUUGAGCAUCGCGAUGUUAUCUUGCCAGGCCGAUGUAACAACAUCCAGUGACUUUCAACUUAAUUCAUUUCAUCUUAAUUUUUAUGUAUUAUGAACGUAUUAACAGAAUUUUAUUUUUAAUCUUCGGAACCCCCGUUCCCCGAUUCUGCUUCAUAAUUAUUUAAAUUCUGUCUUAUUAAAUUGUCUGCAAAUAAAACUGGAGCCACCAGUUGAGUCAUAGAACAGUACAAAUUCUAUAAAAUUGAUUGAAGAACCAGGCCAAAGGUACAAAUCGUGCUUCAACAGAAGUAAAAAGAUUUAAAUGACGAACACUGGCGGUGGUACUCGAAAUAUCACAUAAUCCAAAACGUAUUAUCCACGGGAUAUCGAUCCGUGGUUCAGCUACAACAAUGUAAUUGAUAUUCUUGUGGGGAGAGAAUAAAAAGAUGAAUGAAGCGUGAUGCACCGUGUGCUCCAACGUGGUGAUUUCAAUAGGGCAGAUGGGAUGAUGAUACCACGUUCAAGUUGAUACAAUUAGAAAGUAUAAAGUAUCGGGAUUAUCGGAUAUAAAGAAAGAACAUAAAUAUUUACGACUCUUCACAAUAGAUGUGCCGUGACUUAAUGAUAUUGUAUCGUAUAUAAGAACUUUUCUUCGGUCCCAUUUGAAUAUUUUAGUAUUAUAAAAAUUAUUUCAUUUAUGUCUCAAUGGUAUACGGGGCACAGGGUAACUUCCAUUGACAUUCGGACAGAUUAUUUUGUUUGCGCGAUGUAAUAGGAACAAUGAAAAUGAGUAGUCAGUGAUAUUUGCAUUCAUAAGUUCGUAUGUAUUUCAUUUAAUUUAAUGCUAUCUAUUUUACAAAUCCUUAUGAAGGACAAUCUAUGUAAAGAAAGGAUCGAGGUUCGUUGAUGGUACUGUGAAACGAUCGGCAAAUGCGUACAUGUCCAUCGGAGUAGGUUCUCUAUACUUGUCUUUAGAUACAGUUUCAUAUAUCGGGACUCCAAA
Molecule: long non-coding RNA, 2400 nt
Organism: Ceratina calcarata
Lineage: Eukaryota; Metazoa; Arthropoda; Insecta; Hymenoptera; Apidae
Exons: 2
Source: RefSeq, a predicted model, not a curated record